CAAGUCUGGUGCCAGCAGCCGCGGUAAUUCCAGCUCCAAUAGCGUAUAUUAAAGUUGUUGCAGUUAAGAAGCUCGUAGUUGAAUUUCUGCCUUAUCAUUAAUUUCGCUUCCGAACGUAAUUUUAUUGAUUUGGCAUCUUCUGGAUUAUAUAUUAUUUUUAAUAUAUUUUUCCAGUAUUUUACUUUGAGAAAACUAGAGUGUUUCAAACAGGCUUUUGCCUUGAAUACUACAGCAUGGAAUAAUGAAGUAGGACUAUUGGUUCUAUUUUGUUGGUUAUCGAACCAUAGUAAUGGUUAAUAGGAGCAGUUGGGGGCAUUCGUAUUUAACUGUCAGAGGUGAAAUUCUUAGAUUUGUUAAAGACGAACUACUGCGAAAGCAUUUGCCAAGGAUGUU
This 393-nucleotide ribosomal RNA is filed under the name Babesia annae. Its description in RNAcentral is "SSU rRNA". It matches the Rfam family "Eukaryotic small subunit ribosomal RNA", at positions 556 to 968 of the family's 1831-position model. Lineage: Eukaryota; Apicomplexa; Aconoidasida; Piroplasmida; Babesiidae. The record is from RNAcentral.